Molecule: ribosomal RNA, 253 nt
Filed under: uncultured bacterium
Lineage: Bacteria
Description: partial 16S ribosomal RNA
Rfam family: Bacterial small subunit ribosomal RNA
Source: RNAcentral
UACGUAGGGUGCAAGCGUUAAUCGGAAUUACUGGGCGUAAAGCGUGCGCAGGCGGUGAUGUAAGACAGGUGUGAAAUCCCCGGGCUUAACCUGGGAACUGCAUUUGUGACUGCAUCGCUGGAGUGCGGCAGAGGGGGAUGGAAUUCCGCGUGUAGCAGUGAAAUGCGUAGAUAUGCGGAGGAACACCGAUGGCGAAGGCAAUCCUCUGGGCCUGCACUGACGCUCAUGCACGAAAGCGUGGGGAGCGAACAGG